UAUUAAAAAUUUAUCUAUUUGUAUAACUAAAAAUUGGUGUGCUUGAUGGAAUAAUUUGACAAUGACACGUGGCAUGUCAUAUGUAUGCCAUGUUAACGUACAAAUAUUAACUUUUAAUAAUAAAAUGGAUAAAAAUUUUAACA
This is a microRNA precursor of Gossypium arboreum, 143 nucleotides long. It matches the Rfam family "MIR7502 microRNA precursor family". The record is from Rfam. NCBI's taxonomy places the organism in Eukaryota, Viridiplantae, Streptophyta, Magnoliopsida, Malvales, Malvaceae.